Molecule: non-coding RNA, 1457 nt
Organism: Hydra vulgaris (swiftwater hydra)
Lineage: Eukaryota; Metazoa; Cnidaria; Hydrozoa; Anthoathecata; Hydridae
Source: RefSeq, a predicted model, not a curated record
UUUUUUUUUGUCUUUUCAUUUAAAUAUUUUCAAAGAUAUUUUACUUUAUCCAUGUUAAUCUUUUGAAACGACAAUUUUAAUUGCUAGCAAUAAAAUUAUUACAGUUAUAAAAUUAUAAAAUUAAAUUAAAUAAAUAAUUUUAUUUUAUUCGUAAACUUUAUUGCUUUAAAGGACUUGAGUUGACGUAAUUAAGCUCCUCCUGAUUUUACAAAGUUAUCACGUAAUAUCUUCAGCUUUGUAAACAAAAAAUCAAGAGUUUGUAAACAAAAAAUCUUAAGUUCUUACUGUAUAAUUUGAAGGAACAUAGUUAUUUUUUAAACGCUUUAGACGACAAUUAUGAUGUUUAGUUGAUAUUAAAUAACAACAAAUAUUUAUAGAUCAGUAGUAUCAUUGUUAUUACGAGAUAGAGAGAUUUAGGAAAAAAACAGAUUCAAAGAGCGCCAAUUAGUAGUCAGUUAGAAUGACCCAUAAUAUUGUACGGAGUUUUUUAGCAUCUUUUGAUUUAAAAGGAAUAAAAAAUGUGGAGAAAAAAUGUGGCAAAAAGCAGAAAAAGAGAUGAAAGCAACUACGAAGUAUUCAUAAAGGAUUUUUGGACACAGAAGAGAAUGAAGAGAGUUUAACCUAUGGUGCUGGAGAACUUUAGUUUAAAUUUAUUUUAUAUUUAUUUAAUAGAGGCUACUAUUUACUUGAAAUUAAUUAAACUUUUAGAUUGAAACUAAAUCAAAAAAAAAAAGUAAGUUUUUCGUUUUUUUAAAAACUUACUUUGGUAAAAUUAUUUUGUCUAGUUAUAUUAUCAAUAUUUUUACAUAGAUUUUUAUAAAUUUUGCUUUACUUCUACUCGAAAACACUUUUAUAAUAAGAUAACAAUUGUCAACAGGCUUUUUAAGUGAGUUUUUUAUAUUUAUCUGAAGGAUUUUACGCUUUUUUUUCAAAACUAUUUUAUUCCACAGAAGAGCUCCGCGAUAUGUUAAAAGAGAUCUUCCAAAACUUGUAUGAGAAUAAUGUUAAUGAAUAAAAUUGUAAUUUCUUAAGUCAUAUUUGUCUUUUUGUUUUAUUGCAUAUAAAUUUUGAAAGGAUAUAGGGGUUAGGUUUAUCAUAAAUUUGUACAUAAAUAAAAGAACAAUGAAAACAUUUUGCUGGUAUAUAUUAAGAACAUUCAUAUCCAAUAAAAGAGGUCUGGGAUGAGUAUAACGAUCUUUAAAGUUUAUUAAACGUGCUAUAUGCUUCUGUUGCCGAUAUAGAGGAUAUGUUUAUAUGACAUUGAAUUAACGAGUGAUAAAGUUGAAUUAAUGAAUGUCUAUUUACAAAAUUUCUCGCUUUAUACAUUACUCCAAUAUUUUUUGAAACUUUAUUGCGCAAAAUUUCGAUAUGGUUUUUCCAAGUUAGAUUUUCAUCAAUGAAGACACCAAGGAAAUGUAUAACUUUUGAUUUUUUUAUUUGAACAUUGUUAAUAUUUA